RNAcentral lists this unclassified non-coding RNA (298 nucleotides) under plant metagenome. RNAcentral describes it as "partial contains 5.8S ribosomal RNA, internal transcribed spacer 2, and large subunit ribosomal RNA". The stretch from base 1 to 105 matches the Rfam family "5.8S ribosomal RNA", at positions 50 to 154 of the family's 154-position model. The record is from RNAcentral.
GAAAUGCGAUAAGUAGUGUGAAUUGCAGAAUUCAGUGAAUCAUCGAAUCUUUGAACGCACAUUGCGCCCCCUGGUAUUCCGGGGGGCAUGCCUGUUCGAGCGUCAUUUCACCACUCAAGCCUCGCUUGGUAUUGGGCAACGCGGUCCGCCGCGUGCCUCAAAUCGACCGGCUGGGUCUUCUGUCCCCUAAGCGUUGUGGAAACUAUUCGCUAAAGGGUGCUCGGGAGGCUACGCCGUAAAACAACCCCAUUUCUAAGGUUGACCUCGGAUCAGGUAGGGAUACCCGCUGAACUUAAGC